CUGACACCCCCCCGCUGCCGCCGCUCGCCAUCUUGGAGGAGACGAGGGGCGGGGCGGGGAGACCUCUGCCCCGGAACAGGAUCUCCGAGGCAGCCAAGAGGAGGAGGAAGUCGAUGAUUGCUAAGCGUCGCCGAGUUGGGAGUGUCUUCAGCCCUAAGGCAGCAUCAGAGAUCAUAAUCUUCUGCUCUCGUGGCAAGAAAUUUGUGCGGAUAGAGUUGAUACACCUCACUUGAAGUUGGCCUGGAGAAAAGAGGCGUCGGACUCCUGGACGGGGUUGGGAAACGGUCACCAGUUUCGGCUCAAAGCAGCCUGUUUCCAGGAGACCGCCAUGGUCGAGGCAGCGUCCUGGUCCCACGGUGCGGGGCCGGACGAUCAUUUAUGGGAUAUAAAUAAAAGGACUAUGAGGUGGUAAAUAAAAGACUACCAACUAGAAGCCAUAGGGAGUCAUUUGAAGGAGAAAUAGGCACGGCUCAUCUGUGGUUGAGGGAAAGGGAUCUUGAAAGAUGAUUAGGAGAACUUGGGUUCUGGGGAAAGUGCGGGAAGACAUUCUGGCAGAGAAGCAAACGUGAGGAAAGAGUUUUGCUCUUGUUGCCCAGGCUGGAGUACAAUGGCGCAACCUCGGCUCACCACAACCUCCGCUUCCCAGGUUCAAGCGAUUCUCCUGCCUCAGCCUCCUGAGUCGCUGGGAUUACAGGAAUGUGCCACCAUGCCCGGCUAGUUUUGUAUUUUUAUUAGAGACUGGGUUUCUCCAUGUUGGUCAGGCUGGUCUCGAACUCCUGAUCUCAGGUGAUCCACCUGCCUCGGCCACCCAAAGUGCUGGGAUUACAGGCAUGAGCUACCAUGCCCAGAGAAUUCCAGCCUGCUUCAAGGAAAUCCAUGUGUUCAAAAUGCUUGCUCGCAGUUUGCUCCAUACCAAAUGGUUGCUUAACCCAAAUAUCUGAGCAGCAAAUUGAGCUGAUCCUUCUGGAGAAAGUACGGUUGAACAGCCAAGACCUAUUGGUUCAGCAAGGAAAAGACAGAAAAUUGAGCUCAAUUAGUAAUGAAAAUACAACCUUACAAAAAAUUUUAUACUCAGAGCAGUCCUGCCACAGAAAAUAAAAAGCUACUGCAUUAUUCUAAUCUAAAGUAGAAUCUGUACAACUGUCUUUAAUACCGGAGUGGUAAAGUGAUUACAAGAGGAAAAGCAGUCAGUAUUACCUGCCAUGAAGAGAUAUUUUAUAUAUAUCAUCUAUCACCCUUCUUAUAGAACUCACUUACAAAGAAACUUAUCUUUUUGAAACUUCUGUUCACAUACACUAUCCCUUUCAAUCCCUGGCGAAGAACAACUGAAGCAAAAUAAGGG
Molecule: long non-coding RNA, 1342 nt
Filed under: Homo sapiens (human)
Lineage: Eukaryota; Metazoa; Chordata; Mammalia; Primates; Hominidae
Description: HSALNT0072575
Source: RNAcentral